CCUACGGGUGACAGCAGUGAGGAAUAUUGGUCAAUGGACGAGAGUCUGAACCAGCCAAGUCGCGUGAAGGAUGACUGCCCUAUGGGUUGUAAACUUCUUUUAUAUGGGAGUAAAAUGUUCCACGUGUAGGAUUUUGUAUGUACCAUAUGAUUCCGGCUCGGCUAACUCCGUGCCAGCAGCCGCGGUAAUACGGAGGGUCCGAGCGUUAUCCGGAUUUAUUGGGUUUAAAGGGAGCGUAGGUGGAUUGUUAAGUCAGUUGUGAAAGUUUGCGGCUCAACCGUAAAAUUGCAGUUGAAACUGGCAGUCUUGAGUACAGUAGAGGUGGGCGGAAUUCGUGGUGUAGCGGUGAAAUGCUUAGAUAUCACGAAGAACUCCGAUUGCGAAGGCAGUUCACUGGACUGCAACUGACACUGAGGCUCGAAAGUGUGGGGAUCAAACAGGAUUAGAUACCCGGGUAGUC
Molecule: ribosomal RNA, 460 nt
Filed under: uncultured bacterium
Lineage: Bacteria
Description: partial 16S ribosomal RNA
Rfam family: Bacterial small subunit ribosomal RNA
Source: RNAcentral